CAACAACAACAACAACAAACCCAGCGUAUUCCCACUUAGUGGGGUCUGGGGGGGGUAAGAUGUACGCAGUCCAUACCUCUACCUCUGAUGAAGUAGAAAGGCUGUUUCCGAAAGACCCCCGGCUCAAGUCACGAGAUAUCACACAAACACAUAGUACAGCACAGCAGCAGAUGACAUAACAUAGAUACGGCACCCAUAGGGAAUAUAAAACAGAGUAAAGUAGGAAUGCAGGAAUAAUAAAGCAGAGGAAAGCACACAGAUUCGUAAUAAACAUGGAACACGGAACACGAAACACUGAAUACAGAAUCAUAACAGGAAUACACCCCCACCAAUUAAUUCCCUACACUAGCGACCCGAACUGGCCCUAAUCCUCUGCCGUAAUUCGCAUCUUCCAGACCUUCCUAUCUAGGGUCAUGUCCUCGGUAAGCUGUAACUGUUCCAUGUCCCGCCUAAUCACCUCACCCCAGUACUUCUUCGGUCUACCCCUACCCCGUCUAAAACCAUCCAACGCUAGCCUCUCACACCUACGGACCGGGGCAUCCAUGCCCCUCCUCUUCACGUGUCCGAACCAUCUCAAUCGUGCUUCCCGCAUCUUACACUCCACUGAAGUCACACCAACCUUCUCCCGGAUAGUCUCAUUCCGAA
This 645-nucleotide long non-coding RNA is filed under the name Capsicum annuum. Its description in RNAcentral is "long non-coding RNA (CANN_LNC017405)". The record is from RNAcentral. Lineage: Eukaryota; Viridiplantae; Streptophyta; Magnoliopsida; Solanales; Solanaceae.